This 68-nucleotide ribosomal RNA is filed under the name Dichostereum pallescens. RNAcentral's name for it is "partial 5.8S ribosomal RNA". It matches the Rfam family "5.8S ribosomal RNA", at positions 89 to 154 of the family's 154-position model. From Rfam's summary of the family: 5.8S ribosomal RNA (5.8S rRNA) is a component of the large subunit of the eukaryotic ribosome. Lineage: Eukaryota; Fungi; Basidiomycota; Agaricomycetes; Russulales; Lachnocladiaceae. The record is from RNAcentral.
UCAUCGAAUCUUUGAACGCAACUUGCGCCCCUUGGUAUUCCGAGGGGCACGCCUGUUUGAGUGUCGUG